CGUUAGCGGCGGACGGGUGAGUAACACGUGGGUAACCUACCUAUAAGACUGGGAUAACUUCGGGAAACCGGAGCUAAUACCGGAUAAUAUUUCGAACCGCAUGGUUCGAUAGUGAAAGAUGGUUUUGCUAUCACUUAUAGAUGGACCUGCGCCGUAUUAGCUAGUUGGUAAGGUAACGGCUUACCAAGGCGACGAUACGUAGCCGACCUGAGAGGGUGAUCGGCCACACUGGAACUGAGACACGGUCCAGACUCCUACGGGAGGCAGCAGAC
Molecule: ribosomal RNA, 272 nt
Filed under: uncultured Staphylococcus sp.
Lineage: Bacteria; Bacillati; Bacillota; Bacilli; Caryophanales; Staphylococcaceae
Description: partial 16S ribosomal RNA
Rfam family: Bacterial small subunit ribosomal RNA
Source: RNAcentral